AUAUUGAACUGCUAUAGUCAUCUGGUCCAAUUUAAGCAAAUACCAUAAAAUUAACUUUAAAACGCUUUUGUGAAAUUGUAAUGCAUUAAAUUAAGAAAUGGGCCUAUAUAUAUUUUAUUCGGAAUGCGUAGGCUAAGCAGAAUUAUAUAGGGCCUACAAUUUGUUUUUAUCUUUCACUUUCUACAGAUGACAUCAAAACGAGGCAAAUAUGAUGCCUGGGAAGAAGCGUUGAUGGAAAGUGCUUUCACUGCCUAUAGAAGUGGGGACAUGGGGCUAAAGAGUGCAGCUCGCACCUAUAAUAUCCCGAAAGCUAAAUUAAAGAGGCGCAUUGAUGGUACCAAUAUUAAUGCUGUAGAGCACAAGCAAGCAUUUGGAAGAACUGGUGGCCUUCCUGCAGAUAUUGAAAAUAACAUGGUGGGAUGGCUUUGCAAAUUGUGCAAACAGGAC
This 447-nucleotide long non-coding RNA is filed under the name Androctonus crassicauda. Lineage: Eukaryota; Metazoa; Arthropoda; Arachnida; Scorpiones; Buthidae. The record is from RNAcentral.